GAUGAACGCUAGCGGCAGGCCUAACACAUGCAAGUCGAGGGAGAAGCCCUUUCGGGGGCAGAAACCGGCGCACGGGUGCGUAACGCGUAUGCAACCUACCUUUCACAGGGGGAUAGCCCGAAGAAAUUUGGAUUAAUACCCCAUAAUAUUAUUGGAUGGCAUCAUUUGAUAAUUAAAACUGCGGUGGUGAAAGAUGGGCAUGCGUCCUAUUAGCUAGUUGGAGUGGUAACGGCACCCCAAGGCUACGAUAGGUAAGGGUCCUGAGAGGGAGAUCCCCCACACUGGUACUGAGACAGGGACCAGACUCCUACGGGAGGCAGCAGUGAGGAAUAUUGGUCAAUGGUCGGAAGACUGAACCAGCCAUGCCGCGUGCAGGAAGAAUGCCUUAUGGGUUGUAAACUGCUUUUAUAUGGGAAGAAUAAGGCGUACGUGUACGUUGAUGACGGUACCAUAUGAAUAAGCAUCGGCUAACUCCGUG
This 478-nucleotide ribosomal RNA is filed under the name uncultured bacterium. RNAcentral describes it as "partial 16S ribosomal RNA". It matches the Rfam family "Bacterial small subunit ribosomal RNA", at positions 28 to 507 of the family's 1533-position model. The record is from RNAcentral.